CCUGACUGAACUCAGGAUGCCCCCGGACCCCGGGAUGCCGCGCUGGAGGCUGCAGGAAGAUUCCCAGAGGGCCACAUAGGGCACAGAGGGCCACAGUGCGCCCCAGUGUCCACAGACUCUACCCAGACAGCGACCAUUACUCCACCGGGGGCCUGUGCCAUGCCCAGAGAGGCUUCAGGCCCCUGACUGGACUCAGGACGCCCCUGGACCCCGGGAUGCCUCGCUGGAGGCUGCAGGAAGAUUCCCAGAGGGCCACAUAGGGCACAGAGGGCCACAGCGCGCCCCAGUGUCCACAGAUUCUGCCCAGACAGCGACCAGGACUCCACCGGGGGCCUGGGCCGUGCCCAGAGAGGCUUCAGGUCUCAGCAGCUGGGAUCAAAGAAGCAGCCACCCAUCCAUUCCUUAGAGAAGGCCCCUGACCGGACUCAGGACGCCCCAGGACCCCGAGAUGCUGCGCUAGAGGCUGCAGGAAGAUGCUUAGAUGGCACAGAGGGCCACAGUGCGCCCCUGUGUCCACAGACUCUGCCCAGACAGCGACCAUGACUCCACCACCUGGGGCCUGGGCCCUUGCCAGAGAGG
Molecule: long non-coding RNA, 579 nt
Organism: Chionomys nivalis (European snow vole)
Lineage: Eukaryota; Metazoa; Chordata; Mammalia; Rodentia; Cricetidae
Exons: 4
Source: RefSeq, a predicted model, not a curated record